Dermacentor andersoni is the source of this 732-nucleotide long non-coding RNA. RefSeq lists it as uncharacterized. The record is from RefSeq and is a predicted model, not a curated record. NCBI's taxonomy places the organism in Eukaryota, Metazoa, Arthropoda, Arachnida, Ixodida, Ixodidae.
AGAACUCGCGCGAGUCGGUUAGCGCUGGCGCCUCUUCGCUGGUUCCCUUCUCUUCGCCCUUCUCUUCAGUUUAUCAUGUCCGUACUCCAAAGAACAAAUUGUUGAAAACAGCGUGUCACUUUUUAGGAUUGUCAUGGUUAGAUAUAAAAUACCUGGCUUGGCCGGGUGUACCCGCAAAUUUCAAGAUGGCAACGAAGUCUAUCCUGCGCUGUCUGCUUGUACUGAUCGCAUGUGCUUCAAUUCUACCUAUGAAAGGACAAGAGGGAAUGGCAGAUGCUUACGCAUAUCCUUCGUGGCUCGGGAAUCGUACCGCACCGAUACGAUGCAGGAAGAACGAGGAAUACAAGGUGUGCCAGAGCGGCAGUUGCGGCGAGUAGGAUUGUUGGUUCCUGUAUAGAGGCUGGCCGAUUGGAUGCACAGUGGACUGCCUAAGCAAAUGUUUCUGUAAGCACGGUUGCUUUAGGAAUAACAAAAAUAAAUGUGUGAAAGGGUGUAAAUGCUUCAAAGAGCACACCAUGUACAAGUCUAAGGUCUUCGAUUAAUGCUCAAGACACGCUGCAAGGACUUCAGUCCGAAGCCAUACACGUGAGGGAGGCGAUCGAUUGGGUUGAUACAAAAAUGGAGGAAGAAAAAGAAAUGAAAAUGAACAAUAUUCCAUUCUUCACUGAAGAACGAUGUAUAUCAAGAAGAACUACAUAUUUGUUCAAUAAAGAUAAUUAUGAUUUGUGGCAA